Molecule: non-coding RNA, 72 nt
Organism: Phthorimaea operculella (potato tuberworm)
Lineage: Eukaryota; Metazoa; Arthropoda; Insecta; Lepidoptera; Gelechiidae
Source: the annotation of a GenBank genome assembly
GCGACCGUAGCUCAGUUCGCAGAGCGUUUUGAUGGUACCCCACGGUCCCGGGUUCAAAUCCCGGCGGUCGCU